UUCCCGGGCCUUGUACACACCGCCCGUCACACCACGAAAGUUGGCAAUACCCGAAGCCGGUGGCCUAACCCGCAAGGGAGGGAGCCGUCCGAAGGUAGGGUUGAUGAUUGGGGUG
This 115-nucleotide ribosomal RNA is filed under the name uncultured bacterium. RNAcentral describes it as "partial 16S ribosomal RNA". It matches the Rfam family "Bacterial small subunit ribosomal RNA", at positions 1371 to 1482 of the family's 1533-position model. The record is from RNAcentral.